This 317-nucleotide long non-coding RNA is filed under the name Salvia miltiorrhiza (redroot sage). RNAcentral describes it as "long non-coding RNA (SMIL_LNC008056)". Lineage: Eukaryota; Viridiplantae; Streptophyta; Magnoliopsida; Lamiales; Lamiaceae. The record is from RNAcentral.
UACGCACUUAAGUGAGGAACUGCUUUCCUCUUGUCCAUUUUAAUUUUUUAAUGAUUUACAACUCAUAAAACACCCACACUAGAUGACUCAGAGCUAUUAAUCGAAGGAGAAGUGUAUUAUCAAUUGAAUUUCACAUAGCCACUAAUUGAGGAGUUGCAAAUAUAGAAGAAACAUGGAAAAUGGUGAAUGUUUGGAAAUCUAGUUUCUAGGGGCCUGUACUGACUGAGAAGUUGCUACAAUUUGAGCAGUGAUAUUGGCAUACUGGAUAGCUGUGUGCUGCAUCCCGUACUGAUCCGGGAGGCCGUAUUCUGCAAAGU